This 431-nucleotide ribosomal RNA is filed under the name uncultured prokaryote. RNAcentral describes it as "bacterial SSU rRNA". It matches the Rfam family "Bacterial small subunit ribosomal RNA", at positions 338 to 774 of the family's 1533-position model. The record is from RNAcentral.
CUUACGGGGGGCAGCAGUGGGGAAUUUUGGACAAUGGACGAAAGUCUGAUCCAGCGACGCCGCGUGAAGGACGAAGGUUUUCGGAUCGUAAACUUCUUUUACAGGGGACGAAAGCUCGCAAGAGUUUGACGGUACUCUGUGAAUAAGCCACGGCUAACUACGUGCCAGCAGCCGCGGUAAUACGUAGGUGGCGAGCGUUACUCGGAAUUACUAGGCGUAAAGCGCGUGUAGGCGGGAGGUUAAGUCUGCGGUUAAAUCUCACAGCCCAACUGUGAAAUGCCGGCGGAUACUGGCCUUCUUGAAUUCGGUAGAGGUAACUGGAAUUCCAGGUGUAGCGGUGAAAUGCGUAGAUAUCUGGAAGAACGCCAAAGGCGAAGGCAGGUUACUGGGCCGCAAUUGACGCUGAGACGCGAAAGCUAGGGGAGCAAACA